This 253-nucleotide ribosomal RNA is filed under the name uncultured bacterium. RNAcentral's name for it is "partial 16S ribosomal RNA". It matches the Rfam family "Bacterial small subunit ribosomal RNA", at positions 524 to 776 of the family's 1533-position model. The record is from RNAcentral.
UACGUAGGGGGCAAGCGUUGUCCGGAUUUAUUGGGCGUAAAGAGCGUGUAGGCGGUUCGGUAGGUCCGUUGUGAAAACUCGAGGCUCAACCUCGAGACGCCGAUGGAAACCAUCGAACUAGAGUCCGGAAGAGGAGAGUGGAAUUCCUGGUGUAGCGGUGAAAUGCGCAGAUAUCAGGAGGAACACCGGUGGCGAAGGCGGGUCUCUGGGCCGGUACCGACGCUGAGGAGCGAAAGCGUGGGGAGCGAACAGG